Molecule: long non-coding RNA, 2166 nt
Filed under: Daphnia magna
Lineage: Eukaryota; Metazoa; Arthropoda; Branchiopoda; Diplostraca; Daphniidae
Description: uncharacterized LOC123474092
Source: RNAcentral
UUAGAAUCCUCAACUUUUAGUUAAAGAAUUCCAGUAAGUGUAAAAAUUCAUCUCUUUGAAAAAGAUUUGUGUCCACUAAGUAAUAUUUUCAUCAUUACAUUUCACCAUUAUAAUCAAAUUUACAUCGGUAUUGGGAUGGUGGUUAAGGACUCCGUCUGGAGAUUUGUGGAUAUGAAUAUGACAGAUCAAGUCUAUUUUAUGUCAUGUUAUCAAUAGACCUCUUGCAGAAUGCGGAUAGCAGGAUUCCUGUACUCCGACAAUGUCUCUAUCCGCCAUCAUAGGAAAACCACACCCUUUUUUAACAGGGUCUCUUAUGGGAUUAUUUUUUCUAGUUGGAUAAUUUCUAAAGUGGUUAGUGAUAGAAAAUAGUUAGACACAAGAUGUCGUCUGCUGUUGUUUAUAGUGUUAACAACAAAAACAAUAUUGAAUGUGUAAUGUCUCAAGCAAUUAGUUGAAAAUGGUACUAUGGAUUAUGCUUAGAUUUCAAGUGUUUGAAAUUGGCCAACACAAAUGGUCUCACCUUCGCAAGCCUUAAGUGAGAGCCCACACAAUCCAAUUAAUUAUUAUUAUUUAUGUGGUUGGAAAUGUAGUUUUACUCUAAGAUUCCUUAGUCUUCAUCAAUACAACUUAGGUUGUGAGAGCAAUUGCCAUGAACUCUCUAACCCAGCCAUUUGUAACAGCUUGCUGCGAUUCAGAAGAAAUGCCCUUGUAUGCACCAAGGGCCUCAAAGUGGUUUUGAUAACUUUUGAUUUCGACCAAAUAGAUGAAUAUGUCUGGGAGAGAAAUUUUUGGAACAAUUGGGUAAGAAUCUAAUCCGUGUUUCCAUAUAGAUUUAGGAGUUGAAUAGGGACACUCACUAUUUAACAAUUUUAACUUAUCUAACUAACGAGUUUUCGCAUCACUUACGAGUCCAUUUGCAUAGUCAGAACACGACAUAGUUUUACACUAACACAAAAAACAAAAUGAUGAAUAAUGUGAAACGAAACACUUACUUUUUCAGCGAAACUUUUAAAUUUAUUUAUAUUUCGCACAAUAACAAAAUACAGUCAUAGCAGACCAAAUAGGCCAUCGAAUUCUGCGUUGCGCGAAAAAAUAAAUACGAAGAAAGAUGUCGAACAGCCCUAUAGAACCAAUUUUAACAUAGUACAAUUUAAUAACGGCUAAGAAUAAUAGAUCCGUUCGUAGAUACGAUGGAAUCAAAACUAAUAUUACGUAAAAAACACAACCAAAUUUAUAAUAAAUUAAUUUAGUAAAGUAUUACUUAAUUACGCGUUUCUCAGACAAGAUAUUAAAAUAGUAUACUUAACUAAACUUUACCUUUUAAAAUAAAAUGUUUUUGAAUAGUAAGGUAAAAAGUAACAUUGCUUUACAAAUUCGUAACUAAAAUACAUAAUCUAAAAAUAUCUAACCGUCACUAGAUUUGAAGCAUAAGAAUCAUGCAUAGCAACCCAGUACUGUACCACUAAGUUAUCCCGUGCUACACUUAAAUGAAAUUUUACUUUAGUAGAAUAGACCACGAACGGAUGCUGAGUUGUCAGUUUUCAAAAUGGUCGAAAAUCUCGAUUGUGGUAAGGCAGCCUAAAAUUAACACAGGCUUCUUAUGGAGACCCUUUUUAAAUUAAAUCAUUAAGUGAAAAAUAACUAGUCUUUUCUAUUUAUUUUUUUUUUCUGAUAAGUCAUCAUUCUAGCUAGUACCUUGUUUUUUUUUAUUCCUGAAAAACUAUGGUAUAUAUUUUAAUUUAAUUUUUUUCCGGGGUUGUUUACAUAAGCUCGUCGGCUAGUCUCAGUUUCAAAUUAGUCGGCCGCCAUUCUCAUCUGUCAAGAUGACUAUUUGCUUUAUUCACGGUUGCAAGAAUAAUAGUAGGAAAUUAAGUGCUAGACAUGUUAAGUUCUUCUGUUUGCCAUCAACUAGUGUUAGAUUUUCAAAAGAACUGAAUGAUCAAAAGUUAAAAAGAAGACUUGCUUGGCUUAAUAAUGCAAAGCAAAAGUGUUCACAUGACUUAAUUAAACCAAGGAUCUGUUCUUACCAUUUUCAUGGAGGUAAACCAUGUGAUGAUGUAUACUGUAAUAGACCGCAGCAACUCUUCCCAGCAACAGCAGCCCCACCCAGCAAAAAGUUCGUUACGAAUACAACCUUCCCUGCAGAUAAUAGUUUAUGAUAAAAGU